RNAcentral lists this ribosomal RNA (245 nucleotides) under uncultured bacterium. RNAcentral's name for it is "partial small subunit ribosomal RNA". It matches the Rfam family "Bacterial small subunit ribosomal RNA", at positions 26 to 285 of the family's 1533-position model. The record is from RNAcentral.
AGAAUCAACGCUGGCGGCGUGCCUAACACAUGCAAGUCGAACGAGAAAGUGGAGCAAUCCAUGAGUAAAGUGGCGCACGGGUGAGUAACACGUGACUAACCUACCCUUGAGUGGGGAAUAACCUAGGGAAACCUGGGCUAAUACCGCAUAACACCUACGGGUCAAAGGAGCAAUUCGCUUAAGGAGGGGGUCGCGGCAAAUUAGCUAGUUGGCGGGGUAAUGGCCCACCAAGGCAGUGAUCUGUA